UUGUGAGUCUUCGGGUGUAUA
RNAcentral lists this non-coding RNA (21 nucleotides) under Arabidopsis thaliana (thale cress). The record is from RNAcentral. Lineage: Eukaryota; Viridiplantae; Streptophyta; Magnoliopsida; Brassicales; Brassicaceae.